AACGAACGCUGGCGGCAUGCCUAACACAUGCAAGUCGAACGAGACCUUCGGGUCUAGUGGCGCACGGGUGCGUAACGCGUGGGAAUCUGCCCUUGGGUUCGGAAUAACAGUUAGAAAUGACUGCUAAUACCGGAUGAUGUCUUCGGACCAAAGAUUUAUCGCCCAGGGGUGAGCCCGCGUAGGAUUAGCUAGUUGGUGGGGUAAAGGCCUACCAAGGCGACGAUCCUUAGCUGGUCUGAGAGGAUGAUCAGCCACACUGGGACUGAGACACGGCCCAGACUCCUACGGGAGGCAGCAGUGGGGAAUAUUGGACAAUGGGCGAAAGCCUGAUCCAGCAAUGCCGCGUGAGUGAUGAAGGCCUUAGGGUUGUAAAGCUCUUUACCCGGAUGAUAAUGACAGUACCGGGAGAAUAAGCCCCGGACUAACUCCGUGCCAGCAGCCGCGGUAAU
This 449-nucleotide ribosomal RNA is filed under the name uncultured bacterium. RNAcentral's name for it is "bacterial SSU rRNA". It matches the Rfam family "Bacterial small subunit ribosomal RNA", at positions 29 to 524 of the family's 1533-position model. The record is from RNAcentral.